CCAGCCUCGUCCCUGGCGCUUUGAUGUGCUUACUGGUUGCGUGACGCACGCGCGGGAAUCGAGGUGCGUUGCUCAAUACGGGACGCGGAAGCGCCUCGCAGAAAACGUGUCGAUUUCUGAAAUUUCUGUCGAUUUCUGAACUUUCAAAGCCAUUGUUCGAUUUUCUUGAUUAUUUUGCUUUAUUCACGACGGAAUCAUGGACGAGAUCAGUGAAUCUCUUCACAAUAUUUCUUUUGAAGGUAAAUUUGUAUGAAUUUGUCUCAUUAUAUAUUUCAAUAUGAUUUAUUGUCUUGUUGACUGCUAUAAUUUUAUUAUGUGAACCAAAUAUUUAUAUGAAAAUCAUUCUGAUCAACGUGUUCGUAGGGUUUUAAGGCUGCGUAUGAUUUUGGAGUCCUUUACACUGUACACUUAUAUUUAUUUAGUAUUAGUAAAUUUUCCCUGACAAAUUUUGAGUGAUAUCUUUGCCAGGUUCUUUACUUCUUUGUAGCAGUUAAUAUUUAUAAUUACUGUGUAGUUGUAUUAUUAAAUUGUCAAUUCAUGACAGACAAGUGAAAAAAAGGUUUUGCUAGGCCAAAGAUAUCAGAUUCAAACCAUUCAAUACCCAUUGCAAUCAAACAAUUACCAUAAACAUAUAACCGCCAACAUAUAACACCCCCCCCCCUCCCACCCCCCCUAUGUAUAAUCCCACCAUCCAUAUUUACUCGGGCGAUUCCGAAUAUAAGCCACCUCUAAUGCAAGCCCCUCGACAGGUAUUUAUUAAUGCAGUGAGGGCCAGGAUUCCAACAGCUCAGUCCAUCAAAAAUGCUUACAAAGUACAAACAAAUAUAAGCCCAGGGCUUAUAUUCAGAUGUUUACAAUAUUCAUCUGGCCAAACAUAAUUUGUCAGAGUUUUAUAAAUCCCACGGUCAUUAGAGUUGUAGUUCUAAAAUUAUUUGUAGGAAUGAAAGGUGUAAAAUGAAACUUUGGGAGUUAAGAAACACAAGAGAAGUAAAAUUCCCCUUGAGAAGUAAAAUUGCCUGCCAUUAAGAGGGUCUGAAAGUAAAAUAACAAGCUUGGGUGCAUGGCAGCCUAAUGGGUUAACUUGAUAGUUGGCUGCAAUUACCUGUUGUAGGCUUUAAAGUUGGUUUCAAACUAGGGCUUAUAAAUGCCAGAACUCGUAUGUGAAAAUUGCACGAGUCAAUUUAUCUGACAUACCAUAAUGAACCCAUUUAUGUAAGUGUCUAACACCAACAAUUUUACUCGUCAAUAGGAGAGUGCUGGCACUCAAUGGGUUAACAUAUAAAUGUCUACCUGAACAGUUGGGUUUGGGUUCUACUCUAAAGUAAAUUUCCCUGUAAUCGGAUUGUGGGAUAUGUGACUCUGUCAAUAUUUCUUCAACGUGUGUUCUAAUGAUACGUACUGUCACUAUUUUAUAAGCAUAAUGGACAUUUCUCAUUCAGGGUGAUGUAAGUCAUGUGAACAAGAGAUUAAUACAAGAUCUUUUGAAUGUUCAAAUCGCAGGAGUAGUGGUGUAGUGGUACACUAGCACUUGCCAGACCUAAUUGGCAGAACUAACAAUGACUUUUCUCUAUAACUUUGUGGAUCAAAACCUGGAACAGCGAAAGAAUAGCCUAUGGAGCUACAAAGUUAUAAUAAUACUCUAUUACAUGUAACUUGAUUGUACAGUUAGGUUUAAAAAUUAAUUUAAUCUAAAAUAAUACAAAAUUAAUCAAGAAUUUGCAUCUUCAAUUUUCAAACAUGUUGCUUGGUACUCAGUUUCAAUAACAAUGUCAGUAGCAUGCACUCAUUGUUGGAAAUUUCUGCG
This 1804-nucleotide long non-coding RNA is filed under the name Paramuricea clavata. The record is from RNAcentral. Lineage: Eukaryota; Metazoa; Cnidaria; Anthozoa; Malacalcyonacea; Plexauridae.